GCUGGCAAGGAGAAAGUCAGGAAUCAGUAAUUAGCCCUGAUUCUCAGCAGCUGAUUUAAAAGUCUUUUAGGACAGCAGAGAGGUAGCUGGCUGCCUGGAAGGAGCAGGAAGGUUGGAAUUGCUCAGUUGGAGGAAGUCUCCUCUCUUGGACUGAUACAAUGAUCUCGCGCUUUGAGAAAAGACAUAUGGGUGAUAACGUUAUAUUUUUAAGGGCAGAGAUUGUUUGGAAGCAAUAGAUUACUACACUCCAGAAACACCUGUCUUAACUGGACCCAGGCUCUGUUAUGUGCCAAACUGAAGUAGCUGAGAAGUUCCACAACAAGAAGAACAACACCUUGCACCAUCACAGCCCUUCCUGUAACCAGACUGCUGUUCUAAGGAGAGACAAUCACAGAGUUCAACCUUCUGACUGGCGAAGGUCACCCAGAACUCAGCACCACGUUGGAGUUUCUCGACUCCCACUAAAGCUCAUCGACUUGCCUGAAGACACGCAGGUUACUGGGGAGAGAACCCAGAUCUUUGGGACUUACGGAAGAGAACAAAGAACCCAGGUUUUUAAUCAGAAGUUGAAAUAACACCGAACGUCAUUGCUGCCUUUGUCCUAAUGAUGGCAAUGCAAAAUGCAAGCUCUUGAGAGAAGUUCUUGAGCAUGGAAAGGAGCGCUCCUAUUAACUGUGUUAACACCGGCAUUAAAACAUCAGCUGGUAACUUAUCCCCUCUCUCCAUCAAGGCUUACACUGCAGUCCCAGAAAAUCCUGUUUCUCCUCCUACACACCACUGACAUGAUCGGUGGCUGAGGAAGCCUACAGAACAGCAAUGAAACAUCAUUCCUGCUGGGAAACCCCUGACGCAUUGUUUUUGAAGCUCUCGGAUACCACUGCAGCGAGCACAGUCACCGGAACGCAGUGUUCUUCCAGCACCAGGAAUGCAGAUCCCUGGGCACUCGAGUCCGCCGUUACAGAGUCUGAUUCCUAAGGCUGUGCAACAAAUGGCAUGUUUAAAGGGGAAUGCAGAGUCUGAAGCUGUAUUAAUACUCCUUCUCAUCCCAUUUUGCUCUUCCCAGGGCUAUUUCCAAUAGAAAUGGGUUAGAACAAAAUCCCGCUCCGAGUAGCCGCAAUAUUCUGGCCUCCUUAUUGCACAAAAUCCAGAUGAAAUGGCUAGCAAUUUCAAAAAAAUCCAAGCGAAACCUGAACAAAUGGCCCUUUAUUGUUACUGAAUACUAAAUCAUCAGGUCAUAUUAAAACUUUGGAGUGUUUGUUUUGCAACUUCUGUCCAAUCCCAGAAGUAGACAUUUUAUUUUGUUUUGCACCAUUCACAUUGUUUGUUCUUGUUCUUCCAUUUACCGCUUACAUUUAAGUGCCCUGUUUCAUUAUGUUUCCUUUUUUGAAAUGACUGUGGCAACUGUUGUCAAGUUUCUAUUAUGUUUACAAGAAAAAAAAAAAGCAAAACCCAAUAGAAAAAAGUAAUUAACACAACCAUUUCAUUGAAGUCGAUAAGGCUAUUCUUGGCAUGAAGUGUGACUUAGGAUUAAAGAUAGAUGUUUGCUUUAAGUCACAGUCUCCUAUUAAAUACUGUGCGAGAAUACUAAAUAUUGUAAAUGUUAAAGACUUGAAUUUAUCAUAGGUUUAUCAUGGGAACAUUAACACUUUUACAGCUGUAACCUCACAACAACACACAGAGUAUACUGAGUUCUAAAGCCACAGUGCUGUAAAUGUCAACUGGUUCAUAAGUAAUAUAUGAGUAAUAUACAUGAAUUUAAUUAUUUAGGCUUAUCAAAUUUCACCGAGAUGCGGAUAAUUAGAUGCAGUAGUGUGCCAGCUGAAAAUAUGUCCCUGUCCACAAUGGUCAAGCAGUUAUAAAUGACAUUUUGAAACGCGUAAGCCAGGGUUCGGUAGAUAAAUUCUGCUGAAAGCAGCUGAAGUGGGGUCGUCGGGGCUGGCUGCCCUGGUAGGGGGGAUGCCCAGGUGCAGUGGGUGCCAGCCAGGUUCGCCCAUGCCCCGGUACGGGCAGUAGCACAUUUGUUGCAGUGUAGGUCUGGGCCACACGAUGGCUCCAAGCACAUACAUUCAAAGCUAAUAAAUUUCCAGACUGUACACUCGACACAAUUUCACUAGAUAGCAACUACUGAAAUACGCCGAUACAUGAGUGUUUAGAACAACUGUUUAAUUAGGCGCAAUCAUGAGCCAAUUGUAGGCACUUGUACAGUAACUAAACAGAAACGUCAACAAUUUGCUUUUAUAAAUGUUUAAAUAUGAUAUCUAGGGCAACUAAGAUGUGCAUGGUUACAUCAUGCUGAUUGAGGUUUGUAAUUCCUUUGAGCUUUCUUCUCUGAAGUUUCUUCUGUCUAUCAGAGUACCAAUAGGUACUUCAGAAAGAAAUCCUGAGCAGUGUGUGUGGCAUAGCAAACAAGUCCACCGAUGAUGGGAACUUCCCGGCUGCCAUAUGCACCUGUGCAGACGUGUACAGAUCAAGUAAAAUGUUCUCAGUCUUGACUCUGGUUUCCUUAAAAAAACCCUCCAUGACUUUGGAGUUACUCUAGUGCUAAGUUUACAGCCAAGGGCUGUGCACCACGUCUGGGUGUGCAGCGUUGAUCAAACUCUCCAAAGACCAGCUGUGCUACUUAGGUUUCUCUAAUGGCCAGGACACUUCUUCCUCUGGUCAAUCUUUGUGAAUUUGUUGAAGGUUAGAACUAGAAUAAAGUCAAUUCUUUCAUUGACUGAACCCUUGGCUCCCUGAAACAUUUUUCCUAUCCUAGGCAGAGAUUGCUAAGGCUUAUGAACGGGUUUUGUUGGUGCAGAUUGAAAUUCAAUUUCAAUUACAUCUCAUACAGAAUUAACUUACCAAAAGUAGCAAGCUAACCUGGAAUACACUGAUAACAUGUAUCAGACAAAAUCUCCUGAAUUAAACUAUUUAAACUAUUUUGUGCCGGCAGUGUGCCGCUACUCCAAGAGGUCUAACCAAUUCAGAAAGCCAAAAUUCUUGACUGUCAGAAAAUGGCAAAAGACUGUUUAAAGUUCAAGUUCUUGGCUGCCACUCCCCUAGAAGAGACAUCUGCCUGUACUUCAGUCUUGAUUGCUCCAAAUGUCCAUCAGCACAAAGCAGUUACAUCAGGGUAACUUUGUGAGUGUGCGCAGGGAAUCCAGAUACGUGGUGUGCAGAAAAGGAAGAUAAAAUGAGGGCUUUUUCCCCAUGGUGACCUAGACUUAAUUAGUCAAGCAGACACGAUGAAGAAUAGGAGAAGCAGUAAAAGAACAAACACUGACAGAAAUAAAGACAGUAUAAGAAAAGAGCUAAAAUAGCGUUUCAUUUAUGUCUUUGAAAGAAUAAAUAGAUUUUUUAAUAGAUUGUAAUUACUGUAGUAUAAAAGCUAUUCAAUUGUCACGCCAGGCAUGAUUUUAGUGAUUUUAGUUGUAUUUGCUUAAUCGUCUGGUUGUCUACAGACUUAGGCAAUGGGAAACUGGAAAUUUUCUUCAUCCAGACGUGUCUUCAGAUCUGAAUGGAUCUGAACCCACGUCAGUUUUAUGUCCUGUGACAAACCUGAGUGUAAAUAACUCCAAAAUGAAAGUUGACAAAAUCAUCAAGUUUUGGUUAACAUCACUUGAAUCAUUCUUAAAAUAUACAAAAUUAUUUCACAUAUAUGUGUUGGGGUGAGACCUUUGCCUGGUUUCAGGGCUGGUUCCAAACUCCUUACGUGGGUUUACAAAGAAUCAAUGCUCUGCCUCCCUUCUCCUAUGUAAAGCCUAUAUUGCUUAGAGGUAGCACUAAAUUUGAGCUGUGCAGUAAAUCAUAUCUAAUAUUUGUGUAAGAUGUUAUUAUAUGCUGGAGGCAUAAUUCUUACUUUCUGAAAGGCUCCUCCUUAAAGUACACUUCAUGCUGACUACAAUAGCGGGAUCAUCGUGAAGGAAUAUAAACCACAGUUUUCUGCUCUCUUUAUAUAAAAAGUAAUAAUAACCAGUGAUUUAAUGGCUCCAACAGUGACGCAUUUAAUCAUUAAAAAGCCUCAGUAAAUUAUAAAGGGUAAGAAAGAUGGCGUUUGAUCCAUAGACAGCAUGCUUGUUUCAGGUAUUCUAGACAAAUUUCUCUGUACGGUAUCUUAAAAUUCUAGGUUUGGCUUUCUUUUCUGGAGAAACUUUUAGAUCUCAAGGAAUCUUAUUUUCAUUAGUAAUAACAAUAAUUACUGGAAAUAACUGUAAAUUGGUAAUAACACAAAAUAAUGGCCGUUUUUCACUGUUAAGUAACAUGGUUCUGAAGUAUUUGUGUAGAUCUGACCUACCCAACGUAGUGCAAACCUGUCACAUAAUCUCUCUCUGGGCAACCAGCUAAAGCAUUCUGUAGAUGUGCUUUUUACCACAGAAAUUAGUAACCAAAAAAUAUAAGCUUGAAUGAGCUCUAUUAAUUAAGAAAUGACUU
Chroicocephalus ridibundus (black-headed gull) is the source of this 4410-nucleotide long non-coding RNA. RefSeq lists it as uncharacterized. The transcript is spliced from 6 exons. The record is from RefSeq and is a predicted model, not a curated record. Lineage: Eukaryota; Metazoa; Chordata; Aves; Charadriiformes; Laridae.